Molecule: transfer RNA, 88 nt
Filed under: Brevundimonas phage vB_BpoS-Domovoi
Lineage: Duplodnaviria; Heunggongvirae; Uroviricota; Caudoviricetes; Jeanschmidtviridae
Description: tRNA-Leu
Rfam family: tRNA
About the family: Transfer RNA (tRNA) molecules are approximately 80 nucleotides in length. Their secondary structure includes four short double-helical elements and three loops (D, anti-codon, and T loops). Further hydrogen bonds mediate the characteristic L-shaped molecular structure. tRNAs have two regions of fundamental functional importance: the anti-codon, which is responsible for specific mRNA codon recognition, and the 3' end, to which the tRNAs corresponding amino acid is attached (by aminoacyl-tRNA synthetases). tRNAs cope with the degeneracy of the genetic code in two manners: having more than one tRNA (with a specific anti-codon) for a particular amino acid; and 'wobble' base-pairing, i.e. permitting non-standard base-pairing at the 3rd anti-codon position.
Source: RNAcentral
CGCGACGUGGCGGAGUCUGGUAGACGCGCUACCUUGAGGUGGUAGUGGCCGAAAGGCCGGGCAGGUUCGACCCCUGUCGUCGCGACCA